AGCAGCCGCGGUAAUUCCAGCUCCAAUAGCGUAUAUUAAAGUUGUUGCAGUUAAAAGCUCGUAGUUGAAUUUCGGGAUCAAUUUAUUGGUCGUGCAAUAGUACGUACUGGUAUUAUUGGUUCCUACCUUCUGAUGAACCAUGAUGUCAUUAAUUUGGUGUUAUGGGGAAUCAGGACUGUUACUUUGAAAAAUUGAGUGUUUAAAGCAGGCUCACGCUUGAAUACAUUAGCAUGGAAUAAUGAAAUAGGACGUUUGAUUCUAUUUUGUUGGUUUCUAGGAUCGACGUAAUGAUUAAUAGGGAUAGUUGGGGGCAUUAGUAUUCAAUUGUCAGAGGUGAAAUUCUUGGAUUUAUUGAAGACUAACUACUGCGAAAGCAUUUGCCAAGGACGUUUUCAUUAAUCAAGAACGAAAGUUAGGGAUCGAAGACGAUCAGAUACCGUCGUAGUCUU
This 449-nucleotide unclassified non-coding RNA is filed under the name uncultured Glomus. Its description in RNAcentral is "SSU rRNA". It matches the Rfam family "Eukaryotic small subunit ribosomal RNA", at positions 569 to 1027 of the family's 1831-position model. Lineage: Eukaryota; Fungi; Glomeromycota; Glomeromycetes; Glomerales; Glomeraceae. The record is from RNAcentral.